UGCCAGGGGACAGCCCCCUCCAAUGCUGGAGCCACACCCUUGAUGGAGGGCCCCGGUGGGUGAGGUCUGUAGCUCCUGGAAACAGACCCCAGAGCGGCGGCAAGAAAGGAGUUGGUCUCCACAAUCCGCCCAAAGCCAAGAAGACUUUGGAUAAGUCAUUAUGGAGAAAGCUAAGGAUCCCUGCGUUGUCUUGAAAGCACACCAGCCGGGAAAUCAGAAGGCCUGGGUUUGAAUUCCAGUUACUCACAAAUGUAAGUGAAAGCGGGCAGGCCAGUGACUCCAGCUCAGCCACACCAUGGAGGAUGUCUCUGUGGUCUCAUGUCCACCUUCAUUUGCAAGAUGUCUGCCACAGUUCCAGAUAAUCCAUGGGACCCCAGGGGAAAGAAGACAACUCCUCCCGUAUUGUGACAACUAGCAGGCACACAAAAGUGAACAUCACGUGGGCCUUGACUUGGAGAGCUAGCAAGCAAACGGGCAUCCCAUGUCAUUUCAAAAUUGUAUAGUAAGCAAGGAGAGGCAUGCAGUGUUCUGGAAGCACAGAGAAGGAUCCCUCAGCUCUACUGAGGGAUGAUUCCUGGGGAGAGACCAAGUGGACUGGCUAUAGAUGCUGAGAAUGAGUUUGACUAUAAAGACAAUGCUGUAAGUAAUCUUUACACCUGACACAGGGCUCAAACUCAUGACCCGAGAUCAAGAGUCACAUGCUCUUCUGACUGAGCCAGCCAGGUGCCCCUAAACUACUGUUACAUAGUGACAUGGUUUGCACCUUCAGCCAUCAAGGCGGUUGAAAAAGAAAAUAAUCUGUCCCUCUGGAUUCUAGUUAUGGCUCUGCACCCCAGCACCUGUAAACUCAAAGUCAAAACUCCAUGGAUGCCUGGAUUCCAAGAUUAAACCUCUACUCACAAGCAAAAGGGUUGGUUGGAUAGGAGGUGGGGACAAGAAAUUGUUUGUUUAGAGAGAGAGAGAGCUCUCUAGAGAAAGAAGUAGAGAGAGAAAGCACACGCGAGAGAAUCCCACACAGGCUCUACACUCAAUGUAGAGCCUCACGCUGGGAACACGACCUGAGAUGAAAUCAAGAGUCGGAUACUCAACUGACUGAGCCACCCAGGUGCCCCCCAAAUUAUUUCUAAUUAAAGAAGUGGAACUUACAAGCAAUGGUAAUGAAACUUCAGCUGAAAAAUACUAGACUUUCUAAUGCAUUUGGAUAUUAGGAGCUGUGAUGCCUUGAACUUCAUCUGUGGACUCUAAAAAAUGCAAAAGAGCUGGAGAGAAAUGGCUACCUGCUGUGGAAGACCAGGCCCACCCUGUAUCCUCAGCCCUCUGCUCUCUUGCCUUUGGGCCUAAAACUAUGUGUGGACAAGAAGAGCAGCUGUCGCUAUAUGUUUGAAGGCACCCAGCUGGGGGUGGACAACAUCGAGACCUGCAUCCAGAAGACAUUUUGUGGCUCCAAGGAAGGACAAGGUCCUAGGCAUGAGGUUGCAGGGGAAUAAAUUCCCCCCAGCUACAUCCAAAUGGGAUGCUUGACCAGACUGUCAGCUUGCUUCCUGGUAUUACCACCCCAUAGUGAAAAGCAAUCCACAUAAGGAGCUCCAGCACCAGCAAAAGGUAAUGCAAAGAAGAGAGGAGAGAAAAGGCUUCCAGGUUCACCUUUUCCCACCAUCUAGGGAAAGCACUAGAGAAUGAAGGUCAGCAUAAACAGAAGCACUCCUUUCUCUGAACUAAAAGCAGAAGAGAUAGGCAUUCCUCUUGCUGCAUGUGGGUGAAUAGAGAUGGAUUCCAGAAGAAUAAGAGAAAAAGGAAUGUCAGAGUUGAAAGUGAUGUUUUACCCCCGGUCCAUCCUCAUUCUUACAUCCAAGAACCAACUGAGGGCGAAGAGGUGAAAAGGCUUUGCCUGAGGCUACACAGAGGCCUGGGUUCCACAGGGAGGCUGAAGGAGGAAGGCAGCUGAGGUUUUUAGUGGUUUGACAUUGAGCUCCUGUCCAUAGCUCAGGUGCUUCACCCUGAUUAAAUCCUGACGUAACUGUAGGAAGUUGUGUCAUUACCCCCAUUUUAUAGAUGAAAACCCUGAUGGUCAGGAAGUCCUGGGACGAGACAAAAGCUGUUCAGUGGAAACUUUCUGAGGCUAACACUGCAAAGUAUCCUUGGCCUUGACUCUGCCCCUGAGCAGCCUUAUCUGUAGGGUGACCACAUGCUCUGGUUCACCUGAAUCAAGCCUGGUUUAUACCUGUUGUCCCAGGGUCAGUAGUAAUGGCACCUUCUUUUACUCUUAAAAGUGCCCCAGUCGGGAUAAUCCAUUUAUCAUGUGAUUACUCUAGUAUCUACAAAAUGGGGUAUUCAUAUUACCUGCUCAUGGAGUUUUCGCAAGGAAUCAAUGGGAUUUCACACGUAAAAUGCAUGGCAUCUGGCAUGUAGUAAGCACUAAAUAGAUGUUAGUGGUUAUUGUUACUGUUAUUAUUAUUAUUAUUAGGAAGGUAUCUGAAGAGGGGGCAGCAAGGAGUAAAGACAUGGUUUCCCACUUGACAUGCCCAUCACGGUCUCCACGAAUGGCGCUCCCUGGAGUUGGGCAGUGCCUAUUCAAACUGACCUGUUGGGAAUGGCACCAUCCACUCUAGCCUAGAGGCCAUCUGGAGGCACUGAGCUUGCCUCUUCCACCUCUCCAUCAGUCACAUUCACUGCUUGGGUCUCUUUGGGUCCCAAAGUUGAAACUGAUUUUUUUUCCCUUUUACUCUAAAGUCUAAAGCUUAGAUUUCUUAAAGAGGAAGAAGAGUCACAGAGAAUCCUAUAGAGGAUCCCCUCCCCCCAGCCCCAGCCUGUGCUUAAUUAAGUGAGUGGCUUAAGGGACUUGCCUCCUCUUCAAGAUUAAGAGGUGGGUGUGAAUAUUUUCCUCUGGCCCCCUUAUAUGUUCUUGAUUACAGUAAUAAAAAUGCUAAGCUCUAUUGCCUCUCACUGGAGUAAAGGCAGCUGAAAACUCCUCAUUCCCUGAAGAACCUAAUUGUUGAUUCUAGUGCAUCUAAACAGGUGUUCUUUAGAUUGCUUUUUCUAAUGCCUUUUCACUGGAAAGAUCAAUUUAAAUGUUGCUUUGAGCUAAUCAGUGAUUGCUUCUGUAUUCAUCCAAAUUUAUAUCUUUGCUUCUGCGUGCUAGAUGAGACAUUACUUUCAAAGUCUAUAAACUUAAAUAAGGGAGGUGAUUUCUAAUUUAGCUCUUUGUCCUCUUCUGUCUUCCAUAUUUUAUGCAAAAUAUGCAUGUAUUUCUUUUUGUUAUUUAAAAUCCUAGUUGAAACCUGUGUUUGAACGUCCUGAGUCAUCUUUGGAUGUCCUAUAACGCCACGGGUGGUAUGUCCUACAGAGUGGGUAUUCAAUAAAUAUUUGUGGAAAAGAUAAAUUCAUGCCUUAACCUGGAUUGCAAGCACAUUGGAUUUGUGGUCCCUAGGUGUCUGAGUUCAGGAAUUCUUUCAAUAUUGUCUGAACUUUCUUGUGUCUGCAUCUGUGUUUAUUCUGCUCUCUCUGCCUAGAAUUUCCCCAGUCCCGUCUCUCAGAAAGCUCACGUUCACGCAAGGUUCUCAUCAAAUGCCAGCUGCUCCAUGAAACCAGGCUGCAGUCUCCAACCAGCUCUCCUGGAGUCAGUAUCCGAACAAGCGAUCUGGAGAGGGUUGCAUCUGAUUUUCCAAACCCCACGGUACUCUGCACCUCUUUGAUUUAUCUCAUCUGUGGGUAUUUGCUCCUGGCCUUUUUUCACCCAUGGUGAGCACGUGAAACUUCUUCAGGCGACACAGAGGGUGUACUCUGCUGAACCACAGGUACAGACUAAAAAAUAGUUGUUGCUUAAUGAAUUGUAGGUGUAUAGUUUUGAAGAAUGACAUUUUAUUUCUUUUUUUUUUUUUUAAGUUUUAUUUAUUUUUGAGAGAGAGGGAGGGGGAGGAUUAGAGAGACAGGAAGACACAGAAUCUGAAGCAGGCUCCAGGCUCUGAGCUGUCAGCAAAUAGUCUGACACGGGGCUUGAACCCAUGAAACAUGAGAUCAUGGCCUGAGCCGAAGGCCUAUGCUUAACCGACUGAGCCACCCAGGCGCCCCAAGAAUGAUGUUUUAAAGUAAAGUGUACCCGGAUGGAGAAAUGAUGGAUGUGGCUCUUCAAUCAAGUCCUCAGAACAUAAUCCUUUAGAACUUGCAGGCCAUCUAUCAGCACUCUCUCUUUCACACGCAAAGAACCCCUGGUUCCGAGAGUCCUGGGUCUUCCUUAAGGUCACCUGGCGGGGAAAGACCAGAAUUCAGCCAGCAGAUCUUCUGUAGUGCUCUUCCAGACAUACCUUCAGGCAUAAUUUAACAUGUAUCAGUUUAUCCUUGAGUGUAAAGUACACUUCAUGAUUGGUGACCGGCUAACUAUUCAUAGUUCCUCACUCCCUCCCUUUUAGUGCCUGUUUCUAAGCAGCAAAGUUGUGGUUCAGUGACUUCUGUCUGGAUAAUAUGAAAACAGGGCACCCGGCCAAUUUUGAUGAGCUAACUAUUUCCCUAAAUUAUCAUGCCUAAGCAAAAGGCCCCAAACCUGCUGUUCAACACUUAUCAUUGGAUCUGGGGGAUGGGCUCUACACAGGCAUAUCAUCAAAUAACUGGAAUUUUACAUUUGCGAUUGUCAAGCAGUGAAAAUUGUCAUCCUUAGAAAUGACUGACAGUUCCCCUGCCUCAUUUCUGCUACACUGAGUUAGAUAAAGAAAAAAAAAUCACCUUCACUCUUUUUACAGAUUUCUUGCUGAAGACCCAUGUGACAGGACUAUAAAUUUUCACUAGAAAUUGAUGGGAGAACGGACACUUCAAAGUGCCUGAAAGACUUUGCAAAAGGUCCCAAUUAGCAGAAUGCAGCUAACACCUUAAAAAAAGAAAAUAGAAUAAAUGUUGCAGUGGGAAUGAAUCUUGCCUGGAGUGCUGGGUUGUUGGCUGAUUGCCUGGCGAGAGUGGUGGCCAGGACUUGCCAGCUGGCUGAUCCACACGCCUAUAAAGGAUGCGGUCAGCUUACACCUUGGCAAGCUACAAUUUUGAUGGAAAUCUUAGAGGUCGGCAGGCGUUCUCCCUAGUAAAGUACGUUAGAUCAGGUCAUUGCUUUUAUUUGAGUGAAGAAAAUAUCCUGAUGGCCAGGAUUAGGAACACCAAGUCAGUACUCUGCUCCAAAGGAGAAUUCAUUACUGCAUCAGAAGGGAUAUAUGCCCUAAAGGAGACAGAGGGUGUAAUUGAAGGUGGCACAUUCAUCUAAUCCCCACGUUAAACCAGUCAUGCCACCAAAGCAAACCAACUGGCUCGCCAACAACUACACAUCUUCCCACAAGUUCCACUCAACAACCAGUUUUUCAAACUCUGAACUCCAAAGCUACUGCUUUCCUAUCCUCUUAUGUUUACUCAUAUUUACCUGUGGGUAGUUGUUUCACUUGUUUGUUUUGCAUAGAUCUGACUUCGAGGAUCAGAUGUAAACAUUCUAGUAGCCCCACAAUGGCUAGCUUAGUGCUUUUCAUCUGGAGGCACUCCAUGAAUGACAAAGCUGCCAAAGGAGCUUCCAUAGUCCACAGUCCAUCCUGAAAAUUUAAAAACCAGUUUUAAAAAACUGACAACCUCUCUAUCAGUCUCCCAAAUGGAUUUAUUUUUUUGAAAUUUAUUAAAAACUGACUUUAGGGCACCUGGGUGGCUCAGUCGGUUAAGCGUACGACUUCGGCUCAGGUCAUGAUCUCACAGUUGGUGGGUUCGAGUCCAGCAUCAGGCUGUGUGCUGACAGCUCAGAGCCUGAAGCCUGCUUUGGAUUCUGUGUCUCCCUCUCUCUCUGACCCUCCCCCGCUCAUACUCUCUCUUGCUUUCCCAAAAAUAAAUAAAACAUUUAAAAAUAAAUAAAAAUAACAACUGAUUUUAAUAUUUAUUUUUUAAAAAACAAGCACGUAAAAAUAUCCAGGAAAAAAUACAGUGAACAAAUUCAAAAGUCAAAUACAGACUGUGAAAAUCAUUUGCAAGACUGUAGAUGUAAAUAACAAAGGGUCUAUAUCCUUACUAAAGAAGAGUGGACAAAGAACUUAAUCUGGAAAUUUACAAAAUGUGAAAUGACUAUUUAACAUAUGAAAGCAUUUUCAAACUGAGCAGUAAUGAAUACAAAUGGAACCAGAUACCUCUUUUCAUUUAUCAUAUAAAGAAAAACCCAAGUUGUCCUAGAUAUGGGUUAUUUGAUGCUUUCAUAUACUGGCCAUGCCAAUGCAAAAUAAAACCAGCUUUCCGGAGGGCAAAUUGUCAAUUACUGUCAAUACAUAUUCAAUGUAUAUUCAAAGGUUUAACUGUAUGACCUGCAGAAAUUCAUCCCAAUUGAAUGAGUAGAUCCCAGACAAAUAUUUAAAGAUCUGUGUACAAGCAAACCAGAAGACCCUAAUUGUUGAACAGAAGACUAAUCAAAUGAGGAAAACUCCAUCCAUUCCUUCAUGCAGCUAUUAAACUGAUAAAAUUGAUAUCUAUUAAUUUGAAGAGAAAGAUGUUUACAACAUAAUUAAGAAAAAAAAAAACAGGCCACAGAAAAGUAUGAUCAA
This is a long non-coding RNA of Acinonyx jubatus (cheetah), 6542 nucleotides long. RefSeq lists it as uncharacterized. The record is from RefSeq and is a predicted model, not a curated record. The transcript has 8 exons. NCBI's taxonomy places the organism in Eukaryota, Metazoa, Chordata, Mammalia, Carnivora, Felidae.